GACGAACGCUGGCGGCGUGCUUAACACAUGCAAGUCGAACGGAAAGGCCUGCUUUCCCUUGUGGAUUGCGGGUGCUCGAGUGGCGAACGGGUGAGUAACACGUGAGUGAUCUGCCCCCAACUUGGGUAUAAGCCUGGGAAACUGGGUCUAAUUCCCGAUAGGACUGCAGGGUGGUGCCUGUGGUGGAAAACGAUUUUCUAGUGGUUGGGGAUGAGCUCGCGGCCUAUCAGCUUGUUGGUGGGGUAAUGGCCUACCAAGGCGGCGACGGGUAGCCGGCCUGGGGGGGGGGGCGGCCGCAUGGGGAGUGAGAUCCGGCCCAGACGCGAAGGGGAGGGGGGGGUGGGGAAUAUUGACGAGGGGGGGGAAGCCAGAGGCAGCGCCGCGGGGGGGGGGAUGCCGGCUGUCGGGUGGAAAUCUCUUGGCGCGGGCGAGGAGGCCGCUGGGUGGGAGGGGGGGGGAGGUUAGUGAAAGAAGAAGCACGGGCUAACUCCGUG
This 494-nucleotide ribosomal RNA is filed under the name uncultured bacterium. RNAcentral describes it as "partial 16S ribosomal RNA". It matches the Rfam family "Bacterial small subunit ribosomal RNA", at positions 28 to 507 of the family's 1533-position model. The record is from RNAcentral.